RNAcentral lists this ribosomal RNA (1231 nucleotides) under uncultured prokaryote. RNAcentral describes it as "partial 16S ribosomal RNA". It matches the Rfam family "Bacterial small subunit ribosomal RNA", at positions 140 to 1337 of the family's 1533-position model. The record is from RNAcentral.
UGGAUGGCCAAGGUCCACCUAUCCUGAGUCUGAUUACAAUUCACCUGGCCGUGCGCUUUUACAUUUUCUGCUCCAUAGUAUUGCGACUCGGCAUCGGGUUGUAAUUAAAGAUUUAUUGGUAAAAGAUGGCUAUGCGUUCUAUUAGCUAGAUGGUGUGGUAACGGCACACCAUGGCAACGAUAGAUAGGGGCCCUGAGAGGGAGAUCCCCCACACUGGUACUGAGACACGGACCAGACUCCUACGGGAGGCAGCAGUGAGGAAUAUUGGGCAAUGGAGGCAACGCUGACCCAGCCAUGCCGCGUGCAGGAAGACGGCCCUAUGGGUUGUAAACUGCUUUUAUACAGGAAGAAACACUGGUAUGUAUACCAGCUUGACGGUACUGUAAGAAUAAGGACCGGCUAACUCCGUGCCAGCAGCCGCGGUAAUACGGAGGGUCCGAGCGUUAUCCGGAAUCAUUGGGUUUAAAGGGUCCGCAGGCGGUCAAUUAAGUCAGAGGUGAAAUCCAACAGCUUAACUGUUGAACUGCCUUUGAUACUGUUAGUCUUGAAUUAUAUGGAAGUAGAUAGAAUGUGUAGUGUAGCGGUGAAAUGCUUAGAGAUUACACAGAAUACCGAUUGCGAAGGCAGUCUACUACGUAUAUAUUGACGCUAAUGGAUGAAAGCGUGGGGAGCUAACAGGAUUAGAUACCCUGGUAGUCCACGCCGUACACGAUGGACACUAGUUGUUUUGGAUUUAAUCAGUGACUAAGCGAAAGUGAAAAGUGUCCCACCUGGGGAGUACGAUCGCAAGAUUGAAACUCAAAGGAAUUGACGGGGGCCCGCACAAGCGGUGGAGCAUGUGGUUUAAUUCGAUGAUACGCGAGGAACCUUACCAGGGCUUAAAUGUAGAUUGACAGGACUAUAGAUAGUUUUUCCUUCGGGCAAUUUACAAGGUGCUGCAUGGUUGUCGUCAGCUCGUGCCGUGAGGUGUCAGGUUAAGUCCUAUAACGAGCGCAACCCCUGUUGUUAGUUGCCAGCGAGUCAUGUCGGGAACUCUAACAAGACUGCCGGUGCAAACUGUGAGGAAGGUGGGGAUGACGUCAAAUCAUCACGGCGCUUACGUCCUGGGCCACACACGUGCUACAAUGGCCGGUACAGAGAGCAGCCACUACGUGAGUAGGAGCGAAUCUUCAAAACCGGUCUCAGUUCGGAUCGGAGUCUGCAACUCGACUCCAUGAAGUCGGAAUCGCUA